RNAcentral lists this long non-coding RNA (342 nucleotides) under Physcomitrium patens. RNAcentral's name for it is "long non-coding RNA (PPAT_LNC010940)". Lineage: Eukaryota; Viridiplantae; Streptophyta; Bryopsida; Funariales; Funariaceae. The record is from RNAcentral.
UAGGAUUUGAUUAGGAUUUGAUUAGGAUUUAGGAUUGGACUAGGAUUUAAGAUUUAUUUAGGAUUUCGGAUUUAAGAUUUACUUAGAAUUUAAGUUUUAAGAUUUGUUUUGGAUUUAGGCUUUAUGGUUUGCUUAAGAUUUAAGAUUUAGAAUUUAAAAUUUGCUUAAGAUUUAUAAUUUAGGAUUUUUUUUAGGAUUUAGGGUUUGGCUUAGAAUUUGAUUGAAGUCUAUUAGGAUUUCAAUUGGGAUUAAAUUAGAACUUAAUUAAAAUUUAUUUAAGAUAUAUUUGUGAUUAUUCUAAUAUUUCUUCAAGAUUUCUUAAGAAUUCUUUAAAGAUUUAUU